RNAcentral lists this long non-coding RNA (312 nucleotides) under Homo sapiens (human). RNAcentral's name for it is "non-protein coding lnc-TMEM41B-4:1". The record is from RNAcentral. Lineage: Eukaryota; Metazoa; Chordata; Mammalia; Primates; Hominidae.
CAAAUGAAAAGGUACCUCUAAUCUAGAAAAAAAUACAUCACCAUAUUAUAAAAAUUCAUAAAGAAUGUUACAGGAAACACCAGUUAAAGUCUUCAAAAGAUCAUUAAAUAUUUACAUUUAGUAAUAUAAGAGAACAUACAGAAACUUACAUUAGGUACAUCCCUGUUCACAACAGUCUUUAAAAUUUCUAUCCAUUCUGUCAGGUUCUGUUGGUUUAUCAGUUCCAGUGGUAGUGUAUACUAAAUAAAAGUCAAGAAUUAAUAUUUCGAAAUCCUUGCUAAAGAAAAUCCUACUUCUUUUUACUCUUCACAA